CAUUAUCAUGAAAUCAUAUGAGCGGUAUAACAUAAUACUUAUCACACCAUUGCAAUUCAAUCAUUACACAACAUAUUUUUCCUCAUUUACCAGUCUACUAGUAUCCAUGGGGAUCCAUAGGGGUCCCGCUACCCGUGAACCCUUAACACUUGUAAUCAGAUUCCAGGGCCGUCCCCAUACCCCGUCCGGUAUGGGCGCCAAACUAUAAACCUCAAUACCCCGUCCGGUAUGAGGGUGAAAUGAGCUGUCCCCAUACCCCGUCCGGUAUGGGCGCCAAAACACAUAAGAUCUCCAUACCCCGUCCGGUAUGAGAGACCACAAUCCCGGUAGGGUUUCCUACGGACCCGGUUCGUCCACCAUCUCCCAGGAUAUCUAGUCAGGCUGACCACAUUAUACAAUUACAAAUUUACAUAACCUUUCAUUCCCCUUUUCCUCAGUCAGCGUCAUCAAUUCACACACAAACAAGCAAACCAGUAAUUUAUGCCAAACAAGACAACAUGCAACAUCGG
This 509-nucleotide long non-coding RNA is filed under the name Carica papaya (papaya). RNAcentral describes it as "long non-coding RNA (CPAP_LNC011393)". The record is from RNAcentral. Lineage: Eukaryota; Viridiplantae; Streptophyta; Magnoliopsida; Brassicales; Caricaceae.